UACAGAGUGGAAGAAAACAGAUUCUGGAGCAGUUUCAGUCGAGAGGGUAUUCACAGCUGAUCACUUCUGCCACUACAGACAAGAACACCCUGCUUGACCUCAUUUUUAUUUCUCAGCCACAGCACAGUCUCCAUUCAGGUGUCCUGAGGACAUAUUACAGUUACCACAACCCUGUGUUUUGUGUCCUGUCCUCCAGCCAAUCAUGAAGUCGUCUGAUAACUACAUGCCACAAGGAGACUGCUGUGUUAUGAACUGCCAUACCAGUGUGUCUUCAAUGGAGAAGAUGACACACCCAUCACCUGACCUCCUGCCUGAUCUGGAGACCAUCAUCAUGCUGCCACACUACACACCUCUGAGACCCUCAAUGAUGACUGAUACUGAGGAAACUGUAUUUCCUGUCAGAGAUGCUCAGUGAUCCUCAGAGCAGAGAGAGGUACUGCUGUCUCCUGAGUUCUUCAGUGUCCCAACUGAGACAUUCAAACCUCAUUGCAGAGCUCAUGCCUUUCCUCACCAUCAUGUGAGUGUGAGAUUGCUCUGGAUUCUGGUUAUGUGGCCUGCAGCACCUAUAAGAACAAGCUCGUACAGUGUGCCUGCAUUCCAGCUUCUUAGACUCUACGUAAGUGGACAGUAUCAGUGUUUGGCCGCUCUUACAGACACCGACUUCUGUCAACUCACUGCUACUGAUCAGGCACCUCACUUCAGGAAGACAGAGGGCUGCAAGCCUGUCAUCGUUUCCAGUGUGGCUUUGAAUUCUUGGGGUAGUAUCAGAUUUUUCCCACAAAUAUUCAAAGAUUUAUAUGCAGUGAUCGGAUGUGGUGGAGCUUUGUUAACUGUGUGUAAAACAUCUGUUUGUGAUGAUAUUUACAAUGAGGCUUUAAGGUGACAGUUUCCAUGUAAUUUCAGUCCUUUUACUAAGCAAAAACAUGUUUGCAAUUAACAUAUUUUUUUCAGUUUUGUCUUUUGGAUUUAUGGUUAACAUUCCUCUGUGACAGCAAAUACUAAACUGGUCCAAGUAACCAGCAUAUCAUUGGUUAAAG
Long non-coding RNA from Oreochromis niloticus (Nile tilapia), 1037 nucleotides. RefSeq lists it as uncharacterized. The transcript has 5 exons. Lineage: Eukaryota; Metazoa; Chordata; Actinopteri; Cichliformes; Cichlidae. The record is from RefSeq and is a predicted model, not a curated record.